This is a long non-coding RNA of Humulus lupulus (European hop), 1309 nucleotides long. RefSeq lists it as uncharacterized. The transcript is spliced from 8 exons. The record is from RefSeq and is a predicted model, not a curated record. NCBI's taxonomy places the organism in Eukaryota, Viridiplantae, Streptophyta, Magnoliopsida, Rosales, Cannabaceae.
CAGCGAUUCCACCGCCUACUCUGAAACGCUUCUCUGCAACGAUAUGAAACUCUCUCUACUCGGAGUUUCUACAAUGGCCGAAUGCGAGAAUGGCGAUCUCCUCGAACUUUUUCGAGAGCUUCCUUCCCCCGCUGCAAAGGAGUUGUCCAUUGAGGACAUUAAAAUCAUGUUCUUUGAGUUGCAUGGUCACCUGAUGGUAAGCAUCUUGUGAGUGGGGCUUUUGCUGGAGAAAUUUUGAGUUGGGAUCCACGAACAGAAAGCAAUUAGGGAGUACGCUAAUGACAUUGCAAUAUUUACUCCAGGGUCACAAGAUUUAUGUUAAGGCCAUUGCUUGGAAAUCAGUGCACAUAAGUGCUCCAUGUAGAUGCUUUGUAAGUGCUAGUAAAGAUGGUGUUGCAUGCAUAUGGGACAUAUCAUUGAGGAAAUCUCUCAUAUGUCUCUCUGGGCACACUUGUUCUGCCACUUGUGUUAAAUGGAGUGAAGAUGGGGUGAUUUACACUGGUUCUUUGGAAAUGGAUUGUACUGUUAAAGUAUGGGAAACUUCACAGGGCAAGCUGAUUCGUGAAUUAAAGAUAUAAGCACAUGCGGUGGCUUGGAAACUUUUGAUGAUGGUGUCAAAGUUUCUGAUUCUAGUAAUGUUGCAUCAGAUGUAGCAAUCUUUGAGACCUCUCAAGAUAGUCAAAUUUCUGAACACGGCAACAUCUUUCUAGAAAAGGAACUACUUUCUAUUCAUGACCUUGUGAAGGGUCUCAACGAAGGAAGCAAGAAAAUGGAAGGAAAGAAGUUUACCUCGGUCAAAGACGUUGGAUCGUUGACAAUGAAAGAAUGGGAAAUGCUUCUGUUGAGGAAUUAAUUGGUGGCAAGAUUCUUUUCUUCCUGUGUGCCGUGGUGAUAACUACGAGUUUAAUGCCUGCUGGCAGAGAGAAUAUUGAUAAGCAAUACGUUGCACUAGUGUGGAUUUCUCAACUACUCAAAGGAUGAAGUAAUUUAGCUCUUAAUUGGUGAGUAAUUUAGCUUCAUCUGGAUUGGCUCUCAAUUGCUCUAGAGCAGUAAAUAUUGCAAUUUUAUUGAUUUUUUUUUUUUUUUUAUCUUUAUGUUAACUUUAUAUAUUUCCAAUGAAGCCUUGUUUAAGCUUCAUCUAGAGUGGCUCCAUUUUUAUACAUUGCAUUAGAUUAUACAACUAGCAUGCUUUUUCCACUUUUCCUAUAGAAAUUCUCAUACUGAUUAUUGAUUUGAUAAAACUUUGAUAUUUCAAAUUGCUGCACAGUCAAUUUUUGUUUUACUCUAAGCUCCUUGUGAGAAGGUAUAA